AUUUGCGUCUUACCAGGCAUGUUUAGAUGUUGCUAUUGUCUCUAAUACUGCCUGGUAAUGCCGCCAAU
RNAcentral lists this microRNA precursor (68 nucleotides) under Astyanax mexicanus (Mexican tetra). RNAcentral describes it as "mir-8/mir-141/mir-200 microRNA precursor family". It matches the Rfam family "mir-8/mir-141/mir-200 microRNA precursor family". From Rfam's summary of the family: The bounds of the precursors are predicted based on conservation and base pairing and are not generally known. Lineage: Eukaryota; Metazoa; Chordata; Actinopteri; Characiformes; Acestrorhamphidae. The record is from Rfam by way of RNAcentral.